CCUACGAAACACACGUGUUUUCUUUUCGCUCUGCAAAUUCCCAUACACGCUUAGAUCAGUUUACCUAUUUAUGGGUACUUUAAUCACCCAUAUUUGGGUACUGCAAAAAUCACUCGUAUUAUGAGUGAAAUGUACUGAGAAAAUCAGUCAGUUUCACUCAAAUUAUUUGUUAUAUGACUUUACCAAUAUAUGGGUAAACUAAUUAACUCAUAUUUGGAUGAAAAAAUAAACAUUUGCACCAGAACCACGAUCAGACCAACAGAUCAGUUUUGGGAAGUUGGUGAUAAAAAUUGUAACUGUCAAAGUUUCAUCAGUUGAAAUCAUAAUUAGCUUCACAUUAGCGCCUGUAUAAUCACCUCUCAGCCGUUAACGGAUACCCAUCGAAUUAAUAGCCGAUGUAUGCACCCGGUCAAUAGGAACAGCAUAAGCCGAUGCACCCUUGUAAGGACUGCGCUGCUCGCUUUUCAAGGAUUUCCGCUGGUGGAACCUCCGUUGUCGGUCGUGACAGAACUGACAAAAAUCCGGCUUGCGUGUAGCCGACGGCCGGAAAUGAAAUACCAGCACUCGGUACUCAAAGUGAAGUUCCGAUUAUUAUUGUGAUCAGGAGAUUCCCUAACAUAGCGGAAAUCGAUGGCCGCAGCAGAGACUAUUUCAAGCAGAAACUUCUACGACUGGUAGCUGCAUUUCGGGCGGCUAUGAGGACCCCAGCAGCAGUGUAAAACCCAUAUUGAAACACAUCCUAUUCCACCCGGUCUUUUAAUAACCCAGCGAAUCAAUAAACUGUGAUGGCACCAGCGGAGAAUUUGAACAAACGACAACCUGAGGCUUACAUAGAACGCGGUGAGCAUUCCUCCUUUCGAACCACAAUGGGGAAUCCGUCGAAUCAGCAGCCACCGUAUACACAGUUCCAAAUUCAGCUGGAAACUGUGGUCAUAUCGUCAUCAACAUAGGGUUUGGUACUACAAAGUGUUCAACGAGAUGGAGACCCGAUUCGCCCACGCAGCAAGCAGGAAUAUCCGGCGACAUGUCGACAGCACCAGCUGUUACUUAUUUCACCAUAAGCAACUCCAACUAUUCUCGAUUUUAAAAGUGGUAGGGUAAAAGACCCAAUAGUGGAGGAACUAAGCAUGUUCCACUACUAUUUGUUGGUUCACACCAAGCCUAUACUUCAUUUCACUUACCUCAAGGGUGCACAUGGAAGAUUAUUAAUUAUAUUUAAUGCGAAAGGGGUUCAGAUUGCAGUAGCAUCCAUCAUUGUUACCUAAAAUGGUACCUCCAAUUAUUGGUGCAGUGUUCCAAUAGUUGCGGUAUUUUUUUAAUUCG
Long non-coding RNA from Armigeres subalbatus, 1323 nucleotides. RefSeq lists it as uncharacterized. The record is from RefSeq and is a predicted model, not a curated record. The transcript is spliced from 4 exons. NCBI's taxonomy places the organism in Eukaryota, Metazoa, Arthropoda, Insecta, Diptera, Culicidae.